Molecule: ribosomal RNA, 424 nt
Filed under: uncultured bacterium
Lineage: Bacteria
Description: partial 16S ribosomal RNA
Rfam family: Bacterial small subunit ribosomal RNA
Source: RNAcentral
AAUAUUGGACAAUGGGGGAAACCCUGAUCCAGCCAUUCCGCGUGUAUGAAGAAGGGCUUCGGGUUGUAAAGUACUUUUGGCUGAGAAGAAAAGGUAUCUGAUAAUACGAGAUAGUGCUGACGGUAUCUGCAGAAUAAGCACCGGCUAACUACGACCCAGCAGCAGCGGUAAUACGUAGGGUGCAAGCAUUAAUCGGAAUUACUGGGGGUAAAGAGUGUGUAGGCGGUUCGGAAAGAAAGAUGUGAAAUCCCAGGGCUCAACCUUGGAACUGCAUUUUUAACUGCCGAGCUAGAGUAUGUCAGAGGGGGGUAGAAUUCCACGCGUAGCAGUGAAAUGCGUAGAUAUGUGGAGGAAUACCGAUGGCGAAGGCAGCCCCCUGGGAUAAUACUGACGCUCAGACACGAAAGCGUGGGGAGCAAACAGG